Molecule: long non-coding RNA, 3497 nt
Organism: Lepidothrix coronata (blue-crowned manakin)
Lineage: Eukaryota; Metazoa; Chordata; Aves; Passeriformes; Pipridae
Exons: 3
Source: RefSeq, a predicted model, not a curated record
AGGGGUUUCCACCCCUUGGGGUUUUACCAUUUUUCUUAGCCUCUGGGGGAAAACAAGAUUCAAACCACUACACUGCAGUCUCCAGAUAUUGUUGUCAACAGUGAACAGAUGAAGCCUCCCUGCAACAUAAUGACAUAUCACAACGGCAUCAUGGUCUACAUUUGGGUUUAAAAAAAUCACCAACUGAUAAAUGUUGCUUUUGAUAGCUCAGAUCAUAGGCUUGAUCCAUGUCUUAGUCCUGCAGAGAUGUAGCUAUUUUACAGUUACAUCUUCCUAAGCCAAACAAACUGGAAGAAAGGUGUUUUAAAAAGCAUAUUCUGUUAUUGUGGAAUUCUUUCACUAACCAAAAUAAAUUUCUCUUCAGCACCUCAGGACCUCAAUGACUUCUUGAAACUGAGUAGUCCUAGAAUAAAGUGGAGAAUAAAUACAAGAAUGGAAGAACAAACUAAUCAAAACUCUGCUCUGGAAUUAACUUGAAAAAAUGUAUGAUGAUGUGACUAGAUUUAUGCCUCCUUAGAAGUCUUAGAAGUCAAGAAGACUUGAAUAGAAAUGACUACUUGGAAAUAUGUAAAUGAAAGGACAGACAAUCAGCAGGAAGACUUAUUUCUCACAGUAACAGGUUCUAAAGCACUGAUUGUAUAAACUCAUUGCAAUUAAUAUUCAAUUCAGUAAGGAAGCUGCAUUAUGGUCGUACUCUCCAUAGCUUCUAUCUUUUGUCAGCUGUGGGGCUGCCACAGGCUAAUUGAGAUUACAUUAGGGCUGAAGUAACUCAUCUGUAAUGAAUAUUUAUUUCUGAAAAUAUGGUUCCUAACUCAUAAUCUCUUUUAAGAGACUGUUGGCUGGUAGAGAAGGUCAUGACUGCUGUAUUUAAUAGCUCUUAAUCAUCUUUGACAGUAAGAAUUAUGUAUGUAAUAUGACAUUUCAUAUGUAUAUGAAGCCUAUCAGAUAUACUUUUUGAAAAAAACGUGAACGAAUUAAUUUUGUGAAAAUAUUGGACUAGUAGAACAGAGGAGUAAUCUUGGAACACAUCUACCACCUAGUAGACAAAAUCAAUACAAACCCCAGACCCUUGCAAAUUCAAAAUUAACUUUGAAAAAGGUAAAGAAUUUGUACAGUAAUGAGCCACGGGAAAAUAGAAAGAAUUCUUGUCUUGUAAGAGAAAUUGAGAACUUACUGAGGGUUCAGGACUCACAGUUAACUGCAGAAUAAAGAAUGCUACCGAGUCCAGAAUAACAAGUAGAAUUUUGUCAAGGUAUGUUAAUAUUUCUUGUUAAGGAAUAUUGUUGCAAAGCUUUGUCUCAGAAGGCUGCUUUGGUAUUAGAAAUCUUGCCUUUGAGUUACACAGGGAAAAAAAAUCAUCAGAAUAAAGUAUUUUGUUGUUCAGAAACUGUGGAAAGUGUCAACUGAUAAUGAAAAUCUUUUAUAAUGCCUAGGAUUCAGAAUGAUAACUGAACAGGAUGUAUACUUGUUCAGAUGCAUAUACUGAACAAUUCCAAUAAAUGAAAUAGAUCCACUGAUAUAGAAUAAGUAUAAGCUUCAUUCUUGGUUAAAUCUAAACCUAGGAAGAUAAAGCAAGAAUACAUGAGCAUGCAUGAAACUGAAUAAUAGGAAGUGAAACACAGCAAUCCUGAAUCUGAAGAAAAGAAUACUUUAUUUAAGGUGUGUUUUUUUUACAAUCCCACAUUUGACCAACAAAGUCUUUGAAUGAAGAACUUUAUGGAGAUGACUUAUAAUUCUGUUCAAUGGAUGAUUUAAAGCACCUAGAUCUCAAGAAGCAGAAGGAAUGUGUUUAACUGUGGGGGCAGAGUGAGGGAAAUCCUCCUAUCACCAUGGUAGCAAGUGGUCUUUGUCAGUGCUUGUGCUUAUGUUUUGCAUAAGAGAAUAUGGUCAUUUAGACUGCAGAACUGUAAUGUCAUUUUGAAAAUGCACUGGGACCAGACAUAAUGCACUGUUCUAUGAAUUCUGAAAGUGCAAUUAAAAGUAGACCAGUGAUGACAACAAGGUCUUAACUUGCUUACACUGAGGACAAUUUUUCAGUCAAGGGUGAAAUAGCAUCGUCAUAAUUAACCCGUCUUAGAAACUACAACAUGCCAACUGCAUCUAGUAUCCCCAAGAAAUUUUAGAAUAGUAAGUUUCCCAUAAAAAUAAUCUUUUUUUUAAGAUCACAAAAAUGCACAGCACUUGAGGGAACAACGUAGACAUAGUAGAAUGAUGAGAUUAAACUUUCAGAAAUGUGAUGGAGAAGUACUGCUAAGAUUUAUCAGGUUGUAGUACCUGAUGUAUAUAGAAGUUCAACCCAAAAUUCACCACCUGCAUUUCAGAAAAUAUUGUAUCAUGAGGCCAAAGCAUCAACUAUAAAAUAAAAUUAAUAAAUCUUGAAAGGUAAAGACCAUUUGUAUUGUGCAACAUUGAAGUCUAGUUAUGGUCAAUCUAAUCUAUUAAUGCAGUUAUUUACAUGAAUACAGAAUCAACGACAUUACUAGAACCAGAGUGCAGUAAAGGCACAGGUUAUAAUGACACUGAAUGAAUUUUAUGUGAAGGUAAAAUACCAGAAUAAAGUCUUCUCUUGCAGACCACAGCUGUCACCACAAAUUUUAAAAACAAAAUCUGAUUGUGCGUGUGAUGGAUGGGUGCAUAAAUUUCACAGUUUUAUUAGAACAAAAACCAAAGAAGUCUUUCCUCUCCUAGUCAUUGCCUCAUUCUGCCAUACAAGAGAAGCAGUAAUAAAAAUAGAUCCUCCAGUUUCAGUGCUUAGAUAUCUUCCUCUUAAUAAUUCUUGAAGACUAGGUGAUGACAUCUGACUAAAAUAGUUUCUUUCAGGUGGAAUUAUAUCAACCUUCCAUAAACAGAUUUUUAUUUUUUUUCUGUGUCUUUUCUGAGUGUAUCUUACCUGACUUAAAACAAUUGCCUUUUUUCAUAGCCAUGUGUUUUUCAAAGCCAAGAGUUACUCCAUAAGCAGUUAACCAAACAAGUCUAAUUCCUAUGCAACUGCUUACAUGCAGUGAGCUCCUAGCCUAUAUCAAAAAGUCCUGUUUUUAAAAAUCAUCUCUUUUACUUCAUAUUGAUUACUGAUCACUCUGUUAUUAAUAUUAUAUGUUAUAUUCCUAGGGCAUGGGACGAAGUGUGUGGAAUCCAAGUCUUUUUAGUUUUAAGGAGAGCACAGUUGUGCCAUUAAAAUAUUUCAUUAGGAAAUUAGCAUUUUUCUACCCCCAUUGAUAAAAAUAAUAUAAAAAAUAUAUCCCCCCAAAUGUUCUGAUUUUUUUCCCAUUAUAUUAUCAGCACAAACUAUGCUUAUUUUUCUUUAUAUUUCUCGUAGUUCUUAUACUAAUGCCCAGAAGAAAAUGAUUUGUCAUGCGACAACACUAAUAAAUCCUAUGUAUUUUAUCUGUAUAAAGAAACAGAUAUUUUAUCAAAGAAUAAAACUAGAGUGUGUCAAAAUCUACCUUUGAGAGGUAUAAUGUCAUUUGAUCUAAUUUCUAAUUUUGAUCUAUAGUUUU